UACAACAUAGAUUUAAUGCACCGGAUCCUAUUAGAACUCUGCAGUUAAGCACACUCAAGCUAGAGUAGUAUUGGGAUGGUUGAUCGUUUGAGAAUUCCUAGUGUUUUAC
This is a non-coding RNA of Picea glauca (white spruce), 109 nucleotides long. The record is from Rfam. Lineage: Eukaryota; Viridiplantae; Streptophyta; Pinopsida; Pinales; Pinaceae.